Molecule: long non-coding RNA, 286 nt
Filed under: Gossypium raimondii (Peruvian cotton)
Lineage: Eukaryota; Viridiplantae; Streptophyta; Magnoliopsida; Malvales; Malvaceae
Description: long non-coding RNA (GRAI_LNC000557)
Source: RNAcentral
CACAUCUUGCCAUACUUAGGAAGAUUCUUUCCUUGAUUACAUGGUCAACAUUCCCUUUUUUCUCCCCUUUUCACUCCCAUGAUCCCCUUUCGAUCAUCUACACAUAACCAUUUCACUUCUUUAUUUUUUUUCAUUUUUCUUUCCUCUUCUCUCUUUGCUGUCCACCACCUUGCUCACCAAUUUUCUCUCUUUUUUCUUCCAUUUCACCGCCUACGUCACCCUUUUCUUCUCAUUACUCCUCCACUCCACCACCACAAAGGCCGCCACACCUCUACCUCACCACCAC